GUCGAGCGGUAACAGGUGUAGCAAUACAUGCUGACGAGCGGCGAACGGGUGAGUAAUGCUUCGGAAUCUGCCCAAUGGUGGGGAAUAACCAGCCGAAAGGUUGGCUAAUACCGCAUAAGUCCUACGGGGGAAAGCAGGGGAUCGCAAGACCUUGCGCCGAUGGAUGAGCCGAAGUCGGAUUAGCUAGUUGGUAGGGUAACGGCCUACCAAGGCGACGAUCCGUAGCUGGUCUGAGAGGACGACCAGCCACACUGGGACUGAGACACGGCCCAGACUCCUACGGGAGGCAGCAGUGGGGAAUAUUGGACAAUGGGGGAAACCCUGAUCCAGCGACGCCGCGUGUGUGAAGAAGGCCUGCGGGUUGUAAAGCACUUUUAGUGGGGAUGAAAAGCUCAGGGCUAACACCUCUGGGUCUUGACCUAACCCACAGAAAAAGCACCGGCUAACUCUGUGCCAGCAGCCGCGGUAAUACAGAGGGUGCGAGCGUUAAUCGGAAUUACUGGGCGUAAAGCGUGCGUAGACGGUUAUGUAAGUCGGGUGUGAAAGCCCCGGGCUCAACCUGGGAAUGCCAUUCGAGACUGCAUAGCUAGGGUGCGGAAGAGGGAAGCGGAAUUUCCGGUGUAGCGGUGAAAUGCGUAGAUAUCGGAAGGAACACCAGUGGCGAAAGCGGCUUCCUGGUCCAGCACCGACGUUCAGGCACGAAAGCGUG
This 709-nucleotide ribosomal RNA is filed under the name uncultured Gammaproteobacteria bacterium. Its description in RNAcentral is "bacterial SSU rRNA". It matches the Rfam family "Bacterial small subunit ribosomal RNA", at positions 61 to 763 of the family's 1533-position model. Lineage: Bacteria; Pseudomonadati; Pseudomonadota; Gammaproteobacteria. The record is from RNAcentral.